UAACACAUGCAAGUCGAACGGUUACAGGAAGCAGCUUGCUGCUUCGCUGACGAGUGACGGACGGGUGAGUAAUGUCUGGGAACUGCCUGAUGGAGGGGGAUAACUACUGGAAACGGUAGCUAAUACCGCAUAACGUCGCAAGACCAAAGAGGGGGACCUUCGGGCCUCUUGCCAUCGGAUGUGCCCAGAUGGGAUUAGCUAGUAGGUGGGGUAACGGCUCACCUAGGCGACGAUCCCUAGCUGGUCUGAGAGGAUGACCAGCCACACUGGAANUGAGACACGGUCCAGACUCCUACGGGAGGCAGCAGUGGGGAAUAUUGCACAAUGGGCGCAAGCGUGAUGCAGCCAUGCCGCGUGUAUGAAGAAGGCCUUCGGGUUGUAAAGUACUCUCAGCGGGGAGGAAGGUGAUGAGGUUAAUAACCUCAGCAAUUGACGUACUCCGCAGAAGAAGCACCGUUUAACUCCGUGCCAGCAGCCGCGGUAAU
This 485-nucleotide ribosomal RNA is filed under the name uncultured bacterium. RNAcentral describes it as "bacterial SSU rRNA". It matches the Rfam family "Bacterial small subunit ribosomal RNA", at positions 49 to 524 of the family's 1533-position model. The record is from RNAcentral.